This is a non-coding RNA of Fusobacterium mortiferum ATCC 9817, 142 nucleotides long. The record is from Rfam. Lineage: Bacteria; Fusobacteriati; Fusobacteriota; Fusobacteriia; Fusobacteriales; Fusobacteriaceae.
UAUUACCAUUUGCUUAAUCUAUUUUUAGGAUAAAAAUAGAGCGGGGGACCCAACCUUCUUGGGGCGUAUUUCUCAAUUGAGAAUAGGAUACUUUUCAAUCCGAGCCCGACAGCUAACCUCGUCAGCGUUGAAAAGAGCCAUG